UGGGCGUAAGGGUGCGUAGGCGGUUUUGUAAGUCUGGAGUGAAAACUCAGGGCUUAACCCUGAGACUGCUUUGGAAACUAUAGAACUUGAGUGCUGGAGAGGCAAGGGGAAUUCCACGUGUAGCGGUGAAAUGCGUAGAGAUGUGGAGGAAUACCAGUGGCGAAGGCGCCUUGCUGGACAGUUACUGACGCUGAUGCACGAAAGCGUGGGGAGCAAACAGGAUUAGAUACCCUGGUAGUCCACGCCGUAAACGAUGAGUGCUAGGUGUUGGGGGGUACCACCCUCAGUGCCGAAGGAAACCCAAUAAGCACUCCGCCUGGGGAGUACGGUCGCAAGACUGAAACUCAAAGGAAUUGACGGGGGCCCGCACAAGCAGUGGAGCAUGUGGUUUAAUUCGAAGCAACGCGAAGAACCUUACCAGGGCUUGACAUCCCUUUGACCGGUGUAGAGAUACGCCUUCCCUUCGGGGCAAAGGAGACAGGUGGUGCAUGGUUGUCGUCAGCUCGUGUCGUGAGAUGUUGGGUUAAGUCCCGCAACGAGCGCAACCCUUGAUCUGUGUUACCAGCACGUAAUGGUGGGGACUCACAGGUGACUGCCGGCGCAAGUCGGAGGAAGGCGGGGAUGACGUCA
Molecule: ribosomal RNA, 630 nt
Filed under: uncultured bacterium
Lineage: Bacteria
Description: bacterial SSU rRNA
Rfam family: Bacterial small subunit ribosomal RNA
Source: RNAcentral